This 301-nucleotide ribosomal RNA is filed under the name uncultured bacterium. Its description in RNAcentral is "partial 16S ribosomal RNA". It matches the Rfam family "Bacterial small subunit ribosomal RNA", at positions 509 to 807 of the family's 1533-position model. The record is from RNAcentral.
CAGUCGCCGCGGUAAUACGGAGGGGGCUAGCGUUGUUCGGAAUUACUGGGCGUAAAGCGUACGUAGGCGGUUUUGUAAGUUAGAGGUGAAAGCCCGGAGCUCAACUCCGGAAUUGCCUUUAAGACUGCAUCACUUGAACGUCGGAGAGGUGAGUGGAAUUCCGAGUGUAGAGGUGAAAUUCGUAGAUAUUCGGAAGAACACCAGUGGCGAAGGCGGCUCACUGGACGACUGUUGACGCUGAGGUGCGAAAGCGUGGGGAGCAAACAGGAUUAGAUACCCCUGUAGUCCCUGUCUCUUAUAC